UAAAACGACUCUCGGCAACGGAU
Molecule: non-coding RNA, 23 nt
Filed under: Arabidopsis thaliana (thale cress)
Lineage: Eukaryota; Viridiplantae; Streptophyta; Magnoliopsida; Brassicales; Brassicaceae
Source: RNAcentral